AUGAUUGAUAAUACAGCACAGCUACUAGUAUUGUAUUACAGAGAGCUGCUAACUUUGAACUAUUAUUUAAACUGGUAUCAGAAGUACAGAGAUAUACAAUAUGGAUGUAAAUGGAAACGUCCAAUCUGUUUCAAAGGACAUGUGAUGUACAUGGAAUUCUGGUGAUCACAGAGAACAAUCUCCCACACUGAAGAUGCUUUCAGAACUGUCUAUUCUCAGAGCCUUUACCAAUAACAAGCUGAAUAUGGUUAUUACAAAAAGAAGACCUAGUUUUCACAAAGAAAACUUAAGAGACAAUGGCUAGAAUUAAACACCAGCUAGAUUAAAGCUACUGAAGGACAGCAGUCAUUUGUUCUUCCUUUGGCCUACUAUGCUGCUUUAGGAAGUGUUCUUUCUUACUAGAUACACAGAACAAGACUAUCUACAAUGAUCAGUGCCUGUAAUAUUGCUACAGAUGGAAUAUUCUAACUCUGGAAUAGAGCCAAGGGUUUGUGGGGGAAAAAAAGACUACUUCAGACAGCUCAAAACUUCAGGAACAACAAAACAAGUGCAUAGCGACUAACCAGAUUUCUUCUAUCAUGGAAAAGUGUUCUGAAGGAGAUGGCAUUAAUGUUAGUAUUUGAGCCUGGGCACAGCACCAGUAUGCUUGUCUGAGCUGUGGAGGCAACUCUGGUAGGCUUGAAAUUCUUCUCAGUGACAAACCUGUUGUAAUAAGGGUAAAUACUGUUCUUGCAAGUAAAAUAGAAUAUGCAACAAGUUUCUAUUAAAGAAGAGGUGCAGGUGACAUCUUUGUGCUAUGCUUUGAUGCCAGCCUCCUACUGUCAUUGGGAAGGGCUGACUCAAGAGCUGCUGCAUAGGCACAGCAUGUAGAUCAAUAUAUCUGCUUUUCCUAUGUAUAAUUAAGGCUCCUGCUGACUUUCAUCUUUGUUUCCUGAUGCACUGGUGUUAGAAACCAACAUCAUGUUUGUUAUCUCUAAAGUUGACUGUUCAUGCAGUGAAAUGGCUCCCAUCUGAGAGGAACAUACUGCAAAAAAGAAUGUCCCCAGUUGGAAGGGACCCAUAAGGACCACUGAGUCUAGCUCCAGGCUCCACACAGCACCACCCAAAAUCCAAGCCCCAUGUCUGAGAGCGCUGUCCAAAUGCUUUUUGAACUCCGGCAGCCUGG
RNAcentral lists this long non-coding RNA (1165 nucleotides) under Numida meleagris (helmeted guineafowl). RNAcentral describes it as "lncRNA (ENSNMEG00000006844.1)". Lineage: Eukaryota; Metazoa; Chordata; Aves; Galliformes; Numididae. The record is from RNAcentral.